UCCUUGUCCAGAGAUGUUUAUGUAAAAGGAGUAAUUUUUUAUUUUUUUAGGAUUGAAGUUUUGCAAUUGAAUAUGGCCAAUGUGCUUUUGGAGGAAGGGAGGAUCAACGCAGUGCACAUGCUUUUAGAGAAAGAGAUUGAUUUGAAUGCAGAGGAUGAAGAAGGGUAUGCUAAUAUCAUCGACAAAUACAUGAAAAAUUCAUAGAGAAGCUUUUGUGCUGAUGUUGAAGCCAGGAGUAAGAAGGGUUCAAUCUUUCUUUCCAAGAAAGCAUUGAUGACAAUGAUGAUUCUGAUGAAGGGAAAGAUGAAGAUGGAAGGCCCUAUUUUUUUGAAAUAGAAAGAAGUGAUAGUUUUUUAGACAAGGAACUUGCUGCUAGUGGCUUUAUUAAAAAGGAUAAAGAAGAUAUUCAGAGGUUCAUUGAAGGUGGAGCAGAGGCUGAAACAAACUUAGAUAGUGAAGUUGACUCAGUGGAAGACCUGAAUGAAUCAAUCCUUCUUCAGGUAUAUAAAAAGGAUAAUUUUUACAUAAUAGAUGGUGA
Molecule: non-coding RNA, 538 nt
Organism: Arachis ipaensis
Lineage: Eukaryota; Viridiplantae; Streptophyta; Magnoliopsida; Fabales; Fabaceae
Source: RefSeq, a predicted model, not a curated record